This 1514-nucleotide unclassified non-coding RNA is filed under the name uncultured fungus. RNAcentral's name for it is "sequence contains 18S rRNA gene, ITS1, 5.8S rRNA gene, ITS2, 28S rRNA gene". The stretch from base 482 to 1514 matches the Rfam family "Eukaryotic large subunit ribosomal RNA", at positions 1 to 961 of the family's 3401-position model. Lineage: Eukaryota; Fungi. The record is from RNAcentral.
GGAAGGAUCAUUCGUAUUAAAUAUACAGUUGUUGAUGUUACCGUCUCCGAUAGUAUAGUUUAAUUUGUCUGUCCCACAGUUUUUUUGGUUUUACAUGACUAUGAAGUCGCACAAAAGGAUCAGCAAUGGAUGCCUUGGUUUGGGGAUCGAAGAAGGACGCAGCAAAGCGCGAUAGUCGCUGUGAAAUGCAGAAUUCUGAGAAUCAAAAGAAAUCCUAACGCACUCGGCGUUGUGGGCUUCUGUCCGCAACGAUUCUUAUUCAGUGUCGCUUUUAUAAUAAAUAUUAUAAACCCUGUGCUUUGUCGAUAAUUCUAUCGUGAGUAUGGUAAUGUUCCCCCGAGGUUAUAUCGGAUCGUUGCAUUAUUUUUGAGAGUGUUGAUAGUAAUUAAUGAGAUUGGUUCUGUGAAAAUGUUCUAUUUAUAGUUUCGUAUAGCAGAUACUUGUUGAAUAUUUUACAACCUAAAUACCUUCUAUUUUUUGAUGACCUGAAUUGGAAUAGAUUACCCGCUGAAUUUAAGCAUAUUAUUAAGCGGAGGGAAAGAAACCAACUGGAAUAUCCAUAGUAACGGCGAGUGAAAUGGACUCUGAGCUCAGGGUAUUGAAUCUUGCAUACUUCAUUGUAUUCAAGACAUGUUGCCCGGGUGUUUCUCGUGCAAGGUGCUACGUAUUGGAAAAGGCGAUUGGAAGAUCGCACCAAGGAGGGUGAAAGUCCCGUUCUCUAAUACGACAGUGCCAAAUGUAAGGGAAAUCGUAGAGUAGCGCUCUUUGGGAUUGGAGUGUGAAAGGGUGGUAGCAUUCAUCCAAAGCUAAAUAUAGCCCCAAGACCGAUAGCAAACAAGUACCGUGAGGGAAAGGUUAAAAGAACUUUGAAAAGAGAGUUAAAAGUACCUGAAAUUGCUGAUUUGAAAGCUUGCAGUGGCUCUUUGAUCAGGGUGAUUCUGUUUUUUUCUCCAACAAUUUCUCUAUAAUGUUAUGCAUCAUAUCUGAUUUUAGCGGUUUAAUAUAUACAGUUUCACUUUUGGCUGAUGGUGGUUUGCGUUUUUCGAAUCCUGCAUAUUUUUAGCAUCAUGCCCGUCAUGUAGCUUUAGAAGCACGAGGGUUAUUCGAUAUCGAUGUAGACCACAGUACAGUGUCCUAUGGAUAUAAAACUCAGCUGAAUUAGAGUUCUGCUGGGCCCGUCUUGAAACACGGACCAAGGAGUCUAACGUUUGUGCAAGUAUGUUGGUUAUAUAAGCCUGCAUGCGUAGUGAAAGCAAGUGUUGAUAUUUGUCAACGCUACUAUGAUUUGAACAACUGGUUCUUUUGUAGGCAAUUGUGGCCAUUCUUGAUCUUCGGUGAUAGUCUGCGUCUGAGCACAGCCGUUGGGACCCGAAAGAUGGUGAACUAUGCUUGGACAGGGUGAAGCCAGGGGAAACUCUGGUGGAGGCUCGUAGCGUUACUGACGUGCAAAUCGUUCGUCGGAUCUGAGUAUAGGGGCGAAAGACUAAUCGAACCAUCUAGUAGCUGGUUCCUCU